Cricetulus griseus (Chinese hamster) is the source of this 107-nucleotide small nuclear RNA. Lineage: Eukaryota; Metazoa; Chordata; Mammalia; Rodentia; Cricetidae. The record is from Ensembl.
GUGCUCUCUGUGGCCGCACACUUAAUAAAAUUGGACCAAUACAGAGAAGAUUAGCAUGGCCCCUGCACAAGGAUGAUGUGCAAAUUCAUGAUGCAUUCCAGAUUUUU